AGCAGUAGCCGCGGUAAUACAGAGGGUGCGAGCGUUAAUCGGAUUUACUGGGCGUAAAGCGUGCGUAGGCGGCUUCUUAAGUAGGAUGUGAAAUCCCUGAGCUUAACUUAGGAAUUGCAUUCGAUACUGGGAAGCUAGAGUAUGGGAGAGGAUGGUAGAAUUCCAGGUGUAGCGGUGAAAUGCGUAGAGAUCUGGAGGAAUACCGAUGGCGAAGGCAGCCAUCUGGCCUAAUACUGACGCUGAGGUACGAAAGCAUGGGGAGCAAACAGGAUUAGAUACCCCGGUAGUCCCUGUCUCUUAUAC
Molecule: ribosomal RNA, 303 nt
Filed under: uncultured bacterium
Lineage: Bacteria
Description: partial 16S ribosomal RNA
Rfam family: Bacterial small subunit ribosomal RNA
Source: RNAcentral